Molecule: unclassified non-coding RNA, 182 nt
Filed under: soil metagenome
Description: partial contains 5.8S ribosomal RNA, internal transcribed spacer 2, and large subunit ribosomal RNA
Source: RNAcentral
AACGGUCUAUACCUGCGGUACCUGCGGAGGGAUCAUUAGUGAUUUGGCCUGACGGCCUUUAAUCCAAAUCCUCACACCUGUGAACUCGUGGCUGGGCUCACGCCCGUCGCACACACCACAACUAUGUGUCAUGAACGUGAAAUGCAUAACAAUGUAAACAAAACUUUCAACAACGGAUCUCU